AGGACGACGCUGGCGGCGUGCUUAAUGAAUGCGAGUCGAACGGGAUCCGAGUAGAGUCUUCGGACGACGCUCGGUGAGAGUGGCGAACGGGUGAGUAACACGUGGGUAACCUGCCUCCAACACGGGCAUAACAGAGGGAAACUUCUGCUAAUUCCCGAUAUACUCCUAGAACGCGAGUUUCCGGGAGGAAAGCUUUUGCGGUUGGAGAUGGGCCCGCGGCCGAUUAGCUUGUUGGUAGGGUAAUGGCCUACCAAGGCGACGAUCGGUAGCCGACCUGAGAGGGUGACCGGCCACACUGGGACUGAGACAUGGUCCAGACUCCUACGGGAGUUAGCAUCAGGGAAUCUUGCGCAAUGGGCGAAAGCCUGACGCAGCGACGCCGCGUGGGUGAUGAAGGUCUGCGGAUCGUAAAGCCCUGUCAGGUGGGAAGAAGUUCUGACUGUACCACCAGAGGAAGCCCCGGCUAACUACGUG
RNAcentral lists this ribosomal RNA (474 nucleotides) under uncultured bacterium. RNAcentral describes it as "bacterial SSU rRNA". It matches the Rfam family "Bacterial small subunit ribosomal RNA", at positions 33 to 507 of the family's 1533-position model. The record is from RNAcentral.